AUUGAGCGCUGGCGGCAGGCCUAACACAUGCAAGUCGAGCGGAUGAAGGGAGCUUGCUCCUGGAUUCAGCGGCGGACGGGUGAGUAAUGCCUAGGAAUCUGCCUGGUAGUGGGGGAUAACGUCCGGAAACGGGCGCUAAUACCGCAUACGUCCUGAGGGAGAAAGUGGGGGAUCUUCGGACCUCACGCUAUCAGAUGAGCCUAGGUCGGAUUAGCUAGUUGGUGGGGUAAAGGCCUACCAAGGCGACGAUCCGUAACUGGUCUGAGAGGAUGAUCAGUCACACUGGAACUGAGACACGGUCCAGACUCCUACGGGAGGCAGCAGUGGGGAAUAUUGGGCAAUGGGCGAAAGCCUGAUCCAGCCAUGCCGCGUGUGUGAAGAAGGUCUUCGGAUUGUAAAGCACUUUAAGUUGGGAGGAAGGGCAGCAAGUUAAUACCUUGCUGUUUUGACGUUACCAACAGAAUAAGCACCGGCUAACUUCGUG
This 484-nucleotide ribosomal RNA is filed under the name uncultured bacterium. RNAcentral's name for it is "partial 16S ribosomal RNA". It matches the Rfam family "Bacterial small subunit ribosomal RNA", at positions 30 to 507 of the family's 1533-position model. The record is from RNAcentral.